UGGUGUGAACUGUCCUGAGUGGAUAAUGGCAAUGGAGGCUUGUAACAGCCAAGCAAUUUCAUAUGUACCACUUUAUGAUUCUCUUGGUGCAAAUGCAGUUGAAUUCAUCAUGAACCAC
Long non-coding RNA from Capsicum annuum, 118 nucleotides. RefSeq lists it as uncharacterized. Lineage: Eukaryota; Viridiplantae; Streptophyta; Magnoliopsida; Solanales; Solanaceae. The transcript is spliced from 3 exons. The record is from RefSeq and is a predicted model, not a curated record.